RNAcentral lists this ribosomal RNA (440 nucleotides) under uncultured bacterium. RNAcentral describes it as "partial 16S ribosomal RNA". It matches the Rfam family "Bacterial small subunit ribosomal RNA", at positions 338 to 795 of the family's 1533-position model. The record is from RNAcentral.
CCUACGGGAGGCAGCAGUAGGGAAUAUUGCUCAAUGGGGGAAACCCUGAAGCAGCAACGCCGCGUGGAGGAUGAAGGUUUUCGGAUUGUAAACUCCUUUUGUUAGAGAAGAUAAUGACGGUAUCUAACGAAUAAGCACCGGCCAACUCCGUGCCAGCCGCCGUGGUAAUACGGGGGGUGCAAGCGUUACUCGGAAUCACUGGGCGUAAAGCGCGCGUAGGCGGGAUAGCAAGUCAGUUGUGAAAUCCUAUGGCUUAACCAUAGAACUGCAUUUGAAACUGUUAUUCUAGAGUAUGGGAGAGGUAGGUGGAAUUCUUGGUGUAGGGGUAAAAUCCGUAGAGAUCAAGAGGAAUACUCAUUGCGAAGGCGACCUGCUAGAACAUAACUGACGCUGAUGCGCGAAAGCGUGGGGAGCGAAUAGGAUUAGAUACCCCAGUAGUC